This 77-nucleotide transfer RNA is filed under the name Salmonella sp. FORC89. Its description in RNAcentral is "tRNA-Met". The record is from RNAcentral. Lineage: Bacteria; Pseudomonadati; Pseudomonadota; Gammaproteobacteria; Enterobacterales; Enterobacteriaceae.
GGUUAAACGGUGAAUCUCUUUUCCUGUUUGCCGGCGACAACAACGAUGUUGCGGCCCUUUACGCCAAUCCGCUGCUG